UGGGGAAUAUUGGACAAUGGGCGCAAGCCUGAUCCAGCCAUGCCGCGUGAGUGAUGAAGGCCCUAGGGUUGUAAAGCUCUUUUGUGCGGGAAGAUAAUGACUGUACCGCAAGAAUAAGCCCCGGCUAACUUCGUGCCAGCAGCCGCGGUAAUACGAAGGGGGCUAGCGUUGCUCGGAAUCACUGGGCGUAAAGGGUGCGUAGGCGGGUCUUUAAGUCAGGGGUGAAAUCCUGGAGCUCAACUCCGGAACUGCCUUUGAUACUGAGGAUCUUGAGUUCGGGAGAGGUGAGUGGAACUGCGAGUGUAGAGGUGAAAUUCGUAGAUAUUCGCAAGAACACCAGUGGCGAAGGCGGCUCACUGGCCCGAUACUGACGCUGAGGCACGAAAGCGUGGGGAGCAAACA
Molecule: ribosomal RNA, 402 nt
Filed under: uncultured bacterium
Lineage: Bacteria
Description: bacterial SSU rRNA
Rfam family: Bacterial small subunit ribosomal RNA
Source: RNAcentral